CACUGGCAGCGCUUUGACGGGUACACAAAGGGAUUUCAUGAUCAUUGCUCCAUGAAAUCUUUCUUGCCCAUGUGCGCGCCACCAUCGUUCUACACCGUCAAAGUGUGCUCCCAGAGAAGAAAAAGCUUGCCCAUAUACACACCCUUGCUCUUGUUUUCUAGCUACAAAUACCAAGGCGAUGAUAUCGGAACCGAGAGCAGCUCAACAAUCCUUACCAUACCGUAAAUAAUAACGAAAGAGCCCAACUCAAUUUCUCCAAGGCAACCUUUUUACUUUUUUCUUUCUUUUUGUUGAUCAAAUCUACAACACA
This 310-nucleotide small RNA is filed under the name Histoplasma capsulatum var. duboisii H88. RNAcentral's name for it is "Histoplasma capsulatum H88 hypothetical RNA". The record is from RNAcentral. Lineage: Eukaryota; Fungi; Ascomycota; Eurotiomycetes; Onygenales; Ajellomycetaceae.